Molecule: ribosomal RNA, 2080 nt
Filed under: Clostridium sp.
Lineage: Bacteria; Bacillati; Bacillota; Clostridia; Eubacteriales; Clostridiaceae
Description: partial 23S ribosomal RNA
Rfam family: Bacterial large subunit ribosomal RNA
Source: RNAcentral
GGUUAAGUUAGUAAGGGCGCACGGUGGAUGCCUUGGCACUAGGAGCCGAAGAAGGACGUGACAAACGACGAAAUGCCUUGGGGAGCUGUAAGUAAGCGUAGAUCCAGGGAUGUCCGAAUGGGGGAACCCAAUAGGUAGAUACCUAUUACCCGUAUCUGUUAAGGAUAUGAGGAGGAAGACGCAGUGAACUGAAACAUCUAAGUAGCUGCAGGAAGAGAAAGCAAAAGCGAUUGCCUGAGUAGCGGCGAGCGAAAGGGCAAGAGGGCAAACCGAGAAGUUUACUUCUCGGGGUUGUAGGACUGCGAUGUGGAUUUAAAGAUUAUAGAAGAAGACCUUGGGAAAGGUUGCCAGAGAGAGUAAGAGCCUCGUAUUUUAAAUAAUCUUUAUACCUAGCAGGAUCCUGAGUACGGCGGGACACGAGGAAUCCCGUCGGAAUCUGGGAGGACCAUCUCCCAACCCUAAAUACUCCCUAGUGACCGAUAGUGAACCAGUACCGUGAGGGAAAGGUGAAAAGCACCCCGGGAGGGGAGUGAAAGAGAACCUGAAACCGUGUGCCUACAACAAGUUCGAGCCCGUUAAUGGGUGAGAGCGUGCCUUUUGUAGAAUGAACCGGCGAGUUACGUUAUGAUGCGAGGUUAAGUUGAAGAGACGGAGCCGUAGGGAAACCGAGUCUGAAGAGGGCGGUAUAGUAUCAUGAUGUAGACCCGAAACCAUGUGACCUACCCAUGAGCAGGUUGAAGGUGAGGUAAAACUCACUGGAGGACCGCACCAGGGCACGUUGAAAAGUGCUUGGAUGACUUGUGGGUAGCGGAGAAAUUCCAAACGAACUUGGAGAUAGCUGGUUCUCUCCGAAAUAGCUUUAGGGCUAGCGUCGACAGAAAGAUUCUUGGAGGUAGAGCACUGUUUGGGUGAGGGGUCCAUCCCGGAUUACCAAUCUCAGAUAAACUCCGAAUGCCAAUGAAUUAUGGUCGGCAGUCAGACUGCGAGUGCUAAGAUCCGUAGUCGAAAGGGAAACAGCCCAGACCACCAGCUAAGGUCCCAAAAUAAUUGUUAAGUGGAAAAGGAUGUGGGGUUGCACAGACAACUAGGAUGUUAGCUUAGAAGCAGCUAUUCAUUCAAAGAGUGCGUAAUAGCUCACUAGUCGAGUGACCCUGCGCCGAAAAUGUACCGGGGCUAAAACAAUUUACCGAAGCUGUGGAUCCUUUAGGGGAUGGUAGGAGAGCGUUCUAUGUGUGGUGAAGGUGUACCGUGAGGAGCGCUGGAACGCAUAGAAGUGAGAAUGCCGGUAUGAGUAGCGCAAGACAGGUGAGAAUCCUGUCCACCGUAAGACUAAGGUUUCCAGGGGAAGGCUCGUCCGCCCUGGGUUAGUCGGGACCUAAGGAGAGACCGAAAGGUGUAUCCGAUGGCCAACAGGUAGAGAUUCCUGUACUAGAGUAUAGAGUGAAGGAGGGACGCAGUAGGCUAACUCAAGCGUGCGAAUGGAAGAGCACGUCUAAGCAGUGAGGUGUGAUAGGAGUCAAAUGCUUCUAUCUGUAACAUUGAGCUGUGAUGGGGAGCGAAGUUUAGUAGCGAAGUUAGUGACGUCACACUGCCAAGAAAAGCUUCUAGCGUUUAAACAUACUCUACCCGUACCGCAAACCGACACAGGUAGUCGAGGCGAGUAGCCUCAGGUGAUCGAGAGAACUCUCGUUAAGGAACUCGGCAAAAUGACCCCGUAACUUCGGGAGAAGGGGUGCUGGCUUAAAGUCAGCCGCAGUGAAUAGGCCCAAGCAACUGUUUAUCAAAAACACAGCUCUCUGCUAAAUCGUAAGAUGAUGUAUAGGGGGUGACGCCUGCCCGGUGCUGGAAGGUUAAGAGGAGUGCUUAGACGUAAGUCGAAGGUAUGAAUUGAAGCCCCAGUAAACGGCGGCCGUAACUAUAACGGUCCUAAGGUAGCGAAAUUCCUUGUCGGGUAAGUUCCGACCCGCACGAAAGGCGUAAUGAUUUGGGCACUGUCUCAACGAGAGACUCGGUGAAAUUUUAGUACCUGUGAAGAUGCAGGUUACCCGCGACAGGACGGAAAGACCCCAUGGAGCUUUAC